RNAcentral lists this ribosomal RNA (433 nucleotides) under uncultured bacterium. RNAcentral describes it as "partial 16S ribosomal RNA". It matches the Rfam family "Bacterial small subunit ribosomal RNA", at positions 29 to 507 of the family's 1533-position model. The record is from RNAcentral.
AACGAACGCUGGCGGCAUGCCUAACACAUGCAAGUCGAACGAGACCUUCGGGUCUAGUGGCGCACGGGUGCGUAACGCGUGGGAACCUGCCCUUAGGUUCGGAAUAACUCCCCGAAAGGGGUGCUAAUACCGGAUAAUGUCUUCGGACCAAAGAUUUAUCGCCUUUGGAUGGGCCCGCGUUGGAUUAGCUAGUUGGUAGUGUAAAAGCCUACCAAGGCGACGAUCCAUAGCUGGUCUGAGAGGAUGAUCAGCCACACUGGGACUGAGACACGGCCCAGACUCCUACGGGAGGCAGCAGUGGGGAAUAUUGGACGAUGGGCGAAAGCCUGAUCCAGCAAUGCCGCGUGAGUGAUGAAGGCCUUAGGGUUGUAAAGCUCUUUUACCCGGGAUGAUAAUGACAGUACCGGGAGAAUAAGCUCCGGCUAACUACGUG